Neltuma alba is the source of this 154-nucleotide long non-coding RNA. RefSeq lists it as uncharacterized. The record is from RefSeq and is a predicted model, not a curated record. Lineage: Eukaryota; Viridiplantae; Streptophyta; Magnoliopsida; Fabales; Fabaceae. The transcript has 3 exons.
GAGGAUCAGAGGAGAGCGGGAGUACUAACAGACUCAGAUCAUUAAAGACUCUGCCGACCAAAGCCUACCCCAGUUUCCUCUUUGCGGUUUUCCCGGAGGAAUCUAUUUUUGCUGCCGGAGCUCUUGCAAGAAAUGGUUAAAAUAAGCUUGUAUC